AUCAGAAUGUGCGAGUGUGAGAAAAUACUGAAACGAGGACAAGAAAAUCAGGAACGAGGCGCUUGUCCCCGGAUGAGUCCCCCGCGGAUCCCGGUGAGCAGAGCCUUUGCUGGGAGAACUGUGGGGACUGGUGACCCACAGGUGAGCCGCACGGAGCGCGCAGCUGGUUAGCUUAUGCAACUGAUAAAUGCGCCGAACUUAGCCUGAUGAUAACAACCUGGAUGUCAGGUGGAGUGAGGAGAAGGCAUCAAGGAGUCUCACAGGCCAGCCUCACAAAGCCAAAUCCACCAAGAAAGGGGGAAGCUGCCUCUCAGGCCAGUUUCCAGCUGUGCUCCUGAAGCCUGAGGCACUCUGUGCAAGCGCCUGUGGAUUGAUUGCCUUCGCCAGGAAAGGGAUGGCAGGGUUUCCAGAGUCCAGCCUCGUUUCGAAAGCAGCUCUACUUGUAUCUGUUUGAUAGUCUUUGCUGUACGAUUUCCCUUAAAGCAAGAAUUCUAGUCUUGAAACCCACUGCUGUAGUGUCUAUCAAUGUUUUAAAUGUGCAUGUUCUUCUGAGGAAUUCUAUUUUGAGGAAUCUAUUAUACAGCAAUAUUGUUAAAUACACAAAGAUAUAUAUGUGAGGGUUGCUCUGUGAUAUUUUUGGUAAUAGUAAAAAAAAAAAGAAACCACCACAGUGUUAAUUAAUUAAAUAUCACACUAUAUGUGGAGGUCUGUGUAUAGAGGACUAAGUCAUUACAAUAGAGUGCAGCACAUCUGGAUUAGUUCAUUUAACCAUCCAGUAGCCAGUGACUCCUCUUUAUCAUG
Molecule: long non-coding RNA, 801 nt
Filed under: Equus caballus (horse)
Lineage: Eukaryota; Metazoa; Chordata; Mammalia; Perissodactyla; Equidae
Description: lncRNA (ENSECAG00000046173.1)
Source: RNAcentral